RNAcentral lists this long non-coding RNA (223 nucleotides) under Elaeis guineensis (African oil palm). RNAcentral describes it as "long non-coding RNA (EGUI_LNC078350)". Lineage: Eukaryota; Viridiplantae; Streptophyta; Magnoliopsida; Arecales; Arecaceae. The record is from RNAcentral.
GGCACACACCACUGCUGCAAGCAUGUGGAGUUUUUUUAAAGAAGUUAUAUCAUCAAGACAAUGAUUCUAGGAAAUACAAUAUUGGGAUUGAGAUUGGUGAAUAUACUUAGUGGACAAAGACUGUUUAGGAAUACUAUUCUGGUUUUAUAAACUUGUGGUUAGAAUACAACUCUAUCAUAUAUAAAACUGUUCCUACGGAAGCUUUGAUGAUAAUUCAAACUUU